GACGAACGCUGGCGGCGUGCCUAAUACAUGCAAGUUGAGCGCUUAAGGUUGGUACUUGUACCAACUGGAUGAGCAGCGAACGGGUGAGUAACGCGUGGGGAAUCUGCCUUUGAGCGGGGGACAACAUUUGGAAACGAAUGCUAAUACCGCAUAAAAACUUUAAACACAAGUUUUAAGUUUGAAAGAUGCAAUUGCAUCACUCAAAGAUGAUCCCGCGUUGUAUUAGCUAGUUGGUGAGGUAAAGGCUCACCAAGGCGAUGAUACAUAGCCGACCUGAGAGGGGGAUCGGCCACAUUGGGACUGAGACACGGCCCAAACUACUACGGGAGGCAGCAGUAGGGAAUCUUCGGCGAUGGAAGAAAGUCGGACCGAGCAACGCCGCGGGAGUGAAGAAGGUUUUCGGAUCGUAAAACUCUGUUGGUAGAGAAGAACGUUGGUGAGAGUGGAAAGCUCAUCAAGUGACGGUAACUACCCAGAAAGGGACGGCUAACUACGUG
This 497-nucleotide ribosomal RNA is filed under the name uncultured bacterium. RNAcentral describes it as "partial 16S ribosomal RNA". It matches the Rfam family "Bacterial small subunit ribosomal RNA", at positions 28 to 507 of the family's 1533-position model. The record is from RNAcentral.